Molecule: ribosomal RNA, 253 nt
Filed under: uncultured bacterium
Lineage: Bacteria
Description: partial 16S ribosomal RNA
Rfam family: Bacterial small subunit ribosomal RNA
Source: RNAcentral
UACGUAGGGUGCGAGCGUUAAUCGGAAUUACUGGGCGUAAAGCGUGCGCAAGCGGUUCGUUAAGUCAGCUGUGAAAGCCCCGGGCUCAACCUGGGAAUGGCGGUUGAAACUGGCGAACUUGAAUCUGGCAGAGGGGGGUGGAAUUCCGCGUGUAGCAGUGAAAUGCGUAGAUAUGCGGAGGAACACCGAUGGCGAAGGCAAUCCCCUGGGCCUGCACUGACGCUCAGGCACGAAAGCGUGGGGAGCAAACAGG